UUGAACGCUGGCGGCAUGCUUUACACAUGCAAGUCGAGCGCCCCGCAAGGGGAGCGGCAGACGGGUGAGUAACGCGUGGGAAUCUACCGAGCCCUACGGAAUAACGCAUGGAAACGUGUGCUAAUACCGUAUACGCCCUACGGGGGAAAGAUUUAUCGGGGUUUGAUGAGCCCGCGUUGGAUUAGCUAGUUGGUGGGGUAAAGGCCUACCAAGGCGACGAUCCAUAGCUGGUCUGAGAGGAUGAUCAGCCACAUUGGGACUGAGACACGGCCCAAACUCCUACGGGAGGCAGCAGUGGGGAAUAUUGGACAAUGGGCGCAAGCCUGAUCCAGCCAUGCCGCGUGAGUGAUGAAGGUCUUAGGAUUGUAAAGCUCUUUCACCGGAGAAGAUAAUGACGGUAUCCGGAGAAGAAGCCCCGGCUAACUUCGU
RNAcentral lists this ribosomal RNA (429 nucleotides) under uncultured bacterium. RNAcentral describes it as "bacterial SSU rRNA". It matches the Rfam family "Bacterial small subunit ribosomal RNA", at positions 30 to 506 of the family's 1533-position model. The record is from RNAcentral.